RNAcentral lists this ribosomal RNA (254 nucleotides) under uncultured bacterium. Its description in RNAcentral is "partial 16S ribosomal RNA". It matches the Rfam family "Bacterial small subunit ribosomal RNA", at positions 524 to 776 of the family's 1533-position model. The record is from RNAcentral.
UACGAAGGGGGCGAGCGUUGUUCGGAAUUACUGGGCGUAAAGGGCGCGCAGGCGGCUCUGAAAGUCAGAUGUGAAAGCCCCGGGCUUAACCUGGGAAUUGCAUUUGAUACUCUGGAGCUUGAGUACGGGAGAGGAGAGUGGAAUUCCCAGUGUAGAGGUGAAAUUCGUAGAUAUUGGGAAGAACACCGGUGGCGAAGGCGGCUCUCUGGACCGUAACUGACGCUGAGGCGCGAAAGCGGUGGGGAGCAAACAGG